RNAcentral lists this ribosomal RNA (172 nucleotides) under uncultured Acetobacter sp. RNAcentral's name for it is "partial 16S ribosomal RNA". It matches the Rfam family "Bacterial small subunit ribosomal RNA", at positions 338 to 526 of the family's 1533-position model. Lineage: Bacteria; Pseudomonadati; Pseudomonadota; Alphaproteobacteria; Acetobacterales; Acetobacteraceae. The record is from RNAcentral.
CCUACGGGAGGCAGCAGUGGGGAAUAUUGGACAAUGGGGGCAACCCUGAUCCAGCAAUGCCGCGUGUGUGAAGAAGGUCUUCGGAUUGUAAAGCACUUUCGACGGGGACGAUGAUGACGGUACCCGUAGAAGAAGCCCCGGCUAACUUCGUGCCAGCAGCCGCGGUAAUAAU